GUGGCCUACGGGGCGCAGCAGUGGGGAAUAUUGGGCAAUGGGCGCAAGCCUGACCCAGCAAUGCCGCGUGAAGGAAGAAGGCUUUCGGGUUGUAAACUUCUUUGACAGGGGAAGAGUAGAAGACGGUACCUGUCGAAUAAGCCACGGCUAACUAUGUGCCAGCAGCCGCGGUAAUACGUAGGUGGCAAGCGUUGUCCGGAUUUACUGGGUGUAAAGGGCGUGUAGCCGGGUUGACAAGUCAGAUGUGAAAUCCUGCGGCUUAACCGCAGAACUGCAUUUGAAACUGUUGAUCUUGAGUACUGGAG
This 305-nucleotide ribosomal RNA is filed under the name uncultured bacterium. RNAcentral describes it as "bacterial SSU rRNA". It matches the Rfam family "Bacterial small subunit ribosomal RNA", at positions 334 to 654 of the family's 1533-position model. The record is from RNAcentral.